This 369-nucleotide transfer-messenger RNA is filed under the name Rhizobium sp. It matches the Rfam family "Alphaproteobacteria transfer-messenger RNA". From Rfam's summary of the family: Bacterial tmRNA, also known as 10Sa RNA or SsrA, is named for its dual tRNA and mRNA-like properties. Its role is to liberate the mRNA from a stalled ribosome. Lineage: Bacteria; Pseudomonadati; Pseudomonadota; Alphaproteobacteria; Hyphomicrobiales; Rhizobiaceae. The record is from RNAcentral.
CCCCUUUUCAUGGGCACUGGAACCACCUAUAUCUCUCUUGCCGGGGCUUGCUCCGGCUAUGGCGAUAAACGGUCGGUGUAAUAAACCUAUUGGACCCGGGGGCGGUACCCGGCGCCUCCACCAAAAACCGGUCGGUCCUCGAUGACCGGCUUUUGAUGGGGGCGAAAUAGGAUCGACAAGGGUGUAAAGAUCGAACUUUUGCUCGGCAUGAUACCGCCGUUAUCGGGUCACAAGUGUAGUUGCAAACGACAACAACGCUAAGGGUUAUGCUCUCGCUGCCUAAUGGCGGUGCGGGAAAUCCGAACCAAGUCCUCUAGGUUAGCCCCUUGAGGCGGGGUCCGAAGGCACCUGGCAACAGAAGCCUUCACC